Molecule: ribosomal RNA, 171 nt
Filed under: uncultured bacterium
Lineage: Bacteria
Description: partial 16S ribosomal RNA
Source: RNAcentral
CUGGCAGUAAACGGUGCACGUUUGGUGUGGGCGCAAUCGACCGCGUCCGCGCCGGAGCUAACGCGUUAAACGUGCCGCCUGGGAANCGCGAAGAACCUUACCUGGUCUUGACAUGCAUUGUGUCUACGGUGAAAGCCGUAUAGGGUAGCAAUACCCGCUUUGCACAGGUGC